CACCAUUUUCUAUUAAUAAAUCCAAAAAAAAAGCAAAUAAACUGAGCAAGAAACAGAACGAGGGAGAAGGAGAAAAAAGUUCUCUCCGCCGCCGCAAAUCCGUCCAACCACCACCAUCUUCGUCAAAUCUCGCCGCCGCCGAAUCCGACCAACCACCACACCAUCAUAAUUAGAUUUUCGUUUUUGAAUCGGUUUUGAAUAGUGUUCUUUUCAAAUCUGAUUAAACCGAUG
This 231-nucleotide long non-coding RNA is filed under the name Trifolium pratense (red clover). RNAcentral describes it as "long non-coding RNA (TPRA_LNC010109)". The record is from RNAcentral. Lineage: Eukaryota; Viridiplantae; Streptophyta; Magnoliopsida; Fabales; Fabaceae.